This 253-nucleotide ribosomal RNA is filed under the name uncultured bacterium. RNAcentral describes it as "partial 16S ribosomal RNA". It matches the Rfam family "Bacterial small subunit ribosomal RNA", at positions 524 to 776 of the family's 1533-position model. The record is from RNAcentral.
UACGGGGGGGGCAAGCGUUGUUCGGAAUUACUGGGCGUAAAGGGCUCGUAGGCGGCCAACUAAGUCGGACGUGAAAUCCCUCGGCUUAACCGGGGAACUGCGUCCGAUACUGGAUGGCUUGAGUUUGGGAGAGGGAUGCGGAAUUCCAGGUGUAGCGGUGAAAUGCGUAGAUAUCUGGAGGAACACCGGUGGCGAAGGCGGCAUCCUGGACCAACACUGACGCUGAUGAGCGAAAGCCAGGGGAGCAAACGGG